UUUUAUUUUCAUAAAGAAUACAAACAUAAAUGAUUACUCAAUAAUAAUAAUAAUAACAACAACAACAACUCGGGUGCUACUCAACAACUGACUACAAUUAGUCGUUUAAAACUUCAAUGAACCCAAAAUCAUAAAACAAUUAAUAUUUUUUAUUGCUGAACCUUUAAGCAAAUGGAUUCCCCCCCAUAGAAGCAACUGAUCCUUGUGCUUGGACAUUCGCUAAUUGAGGACUUGGUGCUUGUCCUGCCAUAUAUGCCAAGCCACCUUGUGGUACAGCUGGAAUAUAAGUUGUCGCUGAAUCUUGAGGAAACCAUGGUUCAGUCACACCGCCAAGGAAGGGUGAUGGCAAGUGAGGAUUAGGCAGUGCAGAUUGGAAGGAGCUCAUGUCCAAGAACAUGUUGCCUGGCUCCAAAUCAGAAUCAUAUGG
This 427-nucleotide unclassified non-coding RNA is filed under the name Hevea brasiliensis (rubber tree). Lineage: Eukaryota; Viridiplantae; Streptophyta; Magnoliopsida; Malpighiales; Euphorbiaceae. The record is from RNAcentral.